CCUACGGGCGGCAGCAGUGGGGGAUAUUGCACAAUGGGGGAAACCCUGAUGCAGCGACGCCGCGUGUGGGAAGACGGUCCUCUGGAUUGUAAACCACUGUCCCCAGGGACGAAGAUGAUGGUACCUGGGGAGGAAGCUCCGGCUAACUACGUGCCAGCAGCCGCGGUAAUACGUAGGGAGCGAGCGUUGUCCGGAAUUACUGGGUGAAAAGGGAGCGUAGGCGGGACUGCAAGUUGGGUGUCAAAUCUACCGGCUCAACCGGUAGCCGCACUCAAAACUGCAGUUCUUGAGUGAAGUAGAGGCAGGCGGAAUUCCUAGUGUAGCGGUGAAAUGCGUAGAUAUUAGGAGGAACACCAGUGGCGAAGGCGGCCUGCUGGGCUUUUACUGACGCUGAGGCUCGAAAGUGUGGGGAGCAAACAGGAUUAGAUACCCGAGUAGUC
This 440-nucleotide ribosomal RNA is filed under the name uncultured bacterium. Its description in RNAcentral is "partial 16S ribosomal RNA". It matches the Rfam family "Bacterial small subunit ribosomal RNA", at positions 338 to 795 of the family's 1533-position model. The record is from RNAcentral.